GCUUUGUGUACCCAGUGAGAGCUGUCUUUUCCUGUCAGGAUGAGCCUGCCAGCAAACCAGAUCAAGGAGCCCGGCAAGCAGUUUCAGCCGGCAAAAUCGCUCAAGGAGCCCAGCCAGGAGUCUCUGCCCGGAAACCUACUCAAGGAGCCCAGCCAGGAGUCCCGGAUCCUGUGUCCUGACCCGGACAUCGUAAGUGCACCCCGCUGCGCAGCGACUGCUCUGGUUGUCCUGAACGCCCCACCUCCGAACCCUGCCGUGCGCUUUUUCAGCCACGUUCCAUUUUCUGCCCCUAUCCUCUAUUUUUCUCGCACCCCCCAUCCCCCAGGACUCCCCACCACCACCUCCGCGCUAUCCCCAGGGAGUAUUUUUCUGUGCCUGUUAGUAAACUUCUCUAAUACGUGUUCAUUCCCGCCUCGGGCUCCG
RNAcentral lists this long non-coding RNA (423 nucleotides) under Rattus norvegicus (Norway rat). RNAcentral describes it as "long non-coding RNA NONRATT000971". The record is from RNAcentral. Lineage: Eukaryota; Metazoa; Chordata; Mammalia; Rodentia; Muridae.